RNAcentral lists this ribosomal RNA (253 nucleotides) under uncultured bacterium. RNAcentral describes it as "partial 16S ribosomal RNA". It matches the Rfam family "Bacterial small subunit ribosomal RNA", at positions 524 to 776 of the family's 1533-position model. The record is from RNAcentral.
UACGUAGGGUGCAAGCGUUGUCCGGAAUUAUUGGGCGUAAAGAGCUCGUAGGCGGUCUGUCGCGUCGGCUGUGAAAACCCGGAGCUCAACUCCGGGCCUGCAGUCGAUACGGGCAAACUGGAGUGUUGCAGGGGAGACUGGAAUUCCUGGUGUAGCGGUGAAAUGCGCAGAUAUCAGGAGGAACACCGGUGGCGAAGGCAGGUAACUGGACUAUUACUGACACUCAACUGCGAAAGCUAGGGGAGCAAACAGG